ACAUUUGUUAGUUGGUUUAUAGAAGCGAUAUCCAAAAGUUAAUUUAAGGAUAUCCCACAAGAUUGUUAUCACACAAAUAUUGCUUGUUAGCACACAACCCCAAAUCUUUAACAUGCUUAAGAUUUGUCUUUCUUUCCAACUACAUCUUAUGGAGUCAUGAAAAUAUUGGAAGAUCUUCUCAUUGACAAUCAUAUUGUUUUAGAAGUAUAUAUCCUAUAUAUGGAUAAUAAAUAACAUCUAACGAACUAAAUCUUAUUCGAGUUCGUUCUUCUCCUAAUGGAGAAAUAUAUUAUCUUAUGAUGCUAUUUUCCUUGAUAUCUUUCAAGGAAACUUAUCUAAAGUGUUACCUUUCCUUGGAUCAAAUCUAAGGAGGUAAUUACUUUAGAUGUCUUACUCAUCAACUUACAUUUCUUGAAUUCUUUGGAACAUUUUGCAAAGUAUUCGGACUUGUGUUUAUUCAAAAUAAACUAUAGUCCAACCGAGAGUGAUCUUCGGUGAAUGUUAUUCAACAUGAGUAAUAUUAUGUUUGCGGACAAGUGCCACUAACAUUUAAGUGAAUUAACCUCAACAACUUUGUGAUUCUUUCUUCUUUCCAAAAG
Molecule: long non-coding RNA, 599 nt
Filed under: Malus domestica (apple)
Lineage: Eukaryota; Viridiplantae; Streptophyta; Magnoliopsida; Rosales; Rosaceae
Description: long non-coding RNA (MDOM_LNC007510)
Source: RNAcentral